This is a non-coding RNA of Paramuricea clavata, 394 nucleotides long. NCBI's taxonomy places the organism in Eukaryota, Metazoa, Cnidaria, Anthozoa, Malacalcyonacea, Plexauridae. The record is from the annotation of a GenBank genome assembly.
ACUUUGGGGGCGGGUUUUGGCGGGAAAAUCUGUAAUGUUUGGAGAAGACAAGAUGGCGCUGGUUACCUCGUGUCAUAUCAAAGGGCAUUUUUGUUCACAAAUACCCAUUUAUUUUACGUUGUAGCGACUGGUUAGUUUUGGAAAUUAUAACUCAAUGGACGGGGAAAACGAUUCUGUAUUAAAGAGAAAAAGAUGUGCAGCUAUUGUGAUGUUAUUUGUUGUGAAAGACGGCCCGAAAUUUCGCUACAUCGCAGUACUGGUUUAUAAAACAUUUACAAGCAACAACAAUUGAACUAUAUGACAAAGAAACAAGCCAAUCAAGUUCUUCAGUUUAAAGGUCAGUUUACUUUUUAAUAAUUAGUUCAUUUAGUUGUAUAUUAAUACGAAUUACGAA